AGUGAACGCUGGCGGUAGGCCUAACACAUGCAAGUCGAACGGCAGCACAGUAAGAGCUUGCUCUUAUGGGUGGCGAGUGGCGGACGGGUGAGGAAUACAUCGGAAUCUACUUUUUCGUGGGGGAUCACGUAGGGGAACUUACGCUAAUACCGCAUACGCUCUACGGGUGAAAGCAGGGGAUCUUCGGACCUUGCGCGAUUGAAUGCGCCGAUGUCGGAUUAGCUAGUUGGCGGGGUAAAGGCCCACCAAGGCGACGAUCCGUAGCUGGUCUGAGAGGAUGAUCAGCCACACUGGAACUGAGACACGGUCCAGACUCCUACGGGAGGCAGCAGUGGGGAAUAUUGGACAAUGGGCGCAAGCCUGAUCCAGCCAUACCGCGUGGGUGAAGAAGGCCUUCGGGUUGUAAAGCUCUUUUGUUGGGAAAGAAAAGCAGCAGGUUAAUACCCCGCUGUUCUGACGGUACCCAAAGAAUAAGCACCGGCUAACUUCGUG
Molecule: ribosomal RNA, 492 nt
Filed under: uncultured bacterium
Lineage: Bacteria
Description: partial 16S ribosomal RNA
Rfam family: Bacterial small subunit ribosomal RNA
Source: RNAcentral